GGAAAAUUGGUUAGGUUACCUGUCUUUUGUGGUCGCGUUCUUCAAGCUUCCUUCAGUGUUGAACACGAAGAAAGCCAAGAUAAAGCUCAAACCAUAGCUGGCUAUUUGGAAAGGCAAUUAUUUUUGGGAUAAAAGAAACAGGUUACUUUCCGUUAGUAGAGGAAUGUUUAUGGAAAGGCCAAAGGUUCGCCAAGCGCUCAAGCACUGCAGCACUUUUGGAGAAGUAGCCAGAGAAGCCUGCGGGAGCUGACGGAGGAGGAAAAUCUUCUGCUGGCAUUGCAAAAGGACGCAUCAUUGUUUCCAUUUUCUCUAGCGUUAGACAUGAUCCCACUUCUUG
RNAcentral lists this unclassified non-coding RNA (337 nucleotides) under Hevea brasiliensis (rubber tree). The record is from RNAcentral. Lineage: Eukaryota; Viridiplantae; Streptophyta; Magnoliopsida; Malpighiales; Euphorbiaceae.